CGUUGCGGUUCUAUUUUUGUUGGUUUUCUAGGACCGCCGUAAUGAUUAAUAGGGAGUAUCGGGGGCAUCCGUAUUCAAUUGUCAGAGGUGAAAUUCUUGGAUUUAUUGAAGACGAACUACUGCGAAAGCAUUUGCCAAGGAUGUUUUCAUUAAUCAGGAACGAAAGUUGAGGGGAUCGAAGACGAUCAGAUACCGUCGUAGUCUCAACCAUAAACUAUGCCGACUAGGGAUCGGGCGAUGUUAAUUAUUGACUCGCUCGGAACCUUACGAGAAAUCAAAGUCUUUGGGUUCUGGGGGGGAGUAUGGUCGCAAGGCUGAAACUUAAAAGGAAUUGACGGAAGGGCACCACCAGGAGUGGAGCCUGCGGCUUAAUUUGACUCAACACGG
This 387-nucleotide ribosomal RNA is filed under the name uncultured fungus. RNAcentral describes it as "SSU rRNA". It matches the Rfam family "Eukaryotic small subunit ribosomal RNA", at positions 826 to 1208 of the family's 1831-position model. The record is from RNAcentral. Lineage: Eukaryota; Fungi.